UAUAACGGUCCUAAGGUAGCGAAAUUCCUUGUCGGGUAAGUUCCGACCUGCACGAAUGGCGUAAUGAUGGCCAGGCUGUCUCCACCCGAGACUCAGUGAAAUUGAACUCGCUGUGAAGAUGCAGUGUACCCGCGGCAAGACGGAAAGACCCCGUGAACCUUUACUAUAGCUUGACACUGAACAUUGAGCCUUGAUGUGUAGGAUAGGUGGGAGGCUUUGAAGUGUGGACGCCAGUCUGCAUGGAGCCGACCUUGAAAUACCACCCUUUAAUGUUUGAUGUUCUAACGUGGACUCGUAAUCCGGGUUGCGGACAGUGUCUGGUGGGUAGUUUGACUGGGGCGGUCUCCUCCUAAAGAGUAACGGAGGAGCACGAAGGUUGGCUAAUCCUGGUCGGACAUCAGGAGGUUAGUGCAAUGGCAUAAGCCAGCUUGACUGCGAGCGUGACGGCGCGAGCAGGUGCGAAAGCAGGUCAUAGUGAUCCGGUGGUUCUGAAUGGAAGGGCCAUCGCUCAACGGAUAAAAGGUACUCCGGGGAUAACAGGCUGAUACCGCCCAAGAGUUCAUAUCGACGGCGGUGUUUGGCACCUCGAUGUCGGCUCAUCACAUCCUGGGGCUGAAGUAGGUCCCAAGGGUAUGGCUGUUCGCCAUUUAAAGUGGUACGCGAGCUGGGUUUAGAACGUCGUGAGACAGUUCGGUCCCUAUCUGCCGUGGGCGCUGGAGAACUGAGGGGGGCUGCUCCUAGUACGAGAGGACCGGAGUGGACGCAUCACUGGUGUUCGGGUUGUCAUGCCAAUGGCACUGCCCGGUAGCUAAAUGCGGAAGAGAUAAGUGCUGAAAGCAUCUAAGCACGAAACUUGCCCCGAGAUGAGUUCUCCCUGAGACUUAGAGUCUCCUGAAGGAACGUUGAAGACGACGACGUUGAUAGGCCGGGUGUGUAAGCGCAGCGAUGCGUUGAGCUAACCGGUACUAAUGAACCGUGAGGCUUAACCUU
This 990-nucleotide ribosomal RNA is filed under the name Salmonella enterica. RNAcentral describes it as "partial 23S ribosomal RNA". It matches the Rfam family "Bacterial large subunit ribosomal RNA", at positions 1941 to 2925 of the family's 2925-position model. Lineage: Bacteria; Pseudomonadati; Pseudomonadota; Gammaproteobacteria; Enterobacterales; Enterobacteriaceae. The record is from RNAcentral.